This 433-nucleotide ribosomal RNA is filed under the name uncultured bacterium. RNAcentral's name for it is "partial 16S ribosomal RNA". The stretch from base 48 to 433 matches the Rfam family "Bacterial small subunit ribosomal RNA", at positions 39 to 507 of the family's 1533-position model. The record is from RNAcentral.
GGGGGGGGGGGGGGGGGGGGGGGGGGGGGGGGGGGCGGGGGGGAGGGGCGGGGCGGGUGGCGGGCGGGGGCGUGGGGCGGGGGACCCUGGCCGGAGGGUCGGAGUAACUCCCCGAGGGGGGUGCUAAUGCCGGGUAAUGUCUUCGGACCACAGAUUUCUCGCCUUUGGAUGGGCCCGCGUUGGAUUAGCUAGUUGGUAGGGUAAAGGCCUACCAAGGCGACGAUCCAUAGCUGGUCUGAGAGGAUGAUCAGCCACACUGGGACUGAGACACGGCCCAGACUCCUACGGGAGGCAGCAGUGGGGAAUAUUGGACAAUGGGCGAAAGCCUGAUCCAGCAAUGCCGCGUGAGUGAUGAAGGGCUUAGGGUUGUAAAGCUCUUUUACCCGGGAUGAUAAUGACAGUACCGGGAGAAUAAGCUCCGGCUAACUCCGUG